CAGUAGCCACGGUAAUACGUAGGUGGCAAGCGUUGUCCGGAAUUAUUGGGCGUAAAGGGCUCGCAGGCGGUUUCUUAAGUCUGAUGUGAAAGCCCCCGGCUCAACCGGGGAGGGUCAUUGGAAACUGGGAAACUUGAGUGCAGAAGAGGAGAGUGGAAUUCCACGUGUAGCGGUGAAAUGCGUAGAGAUGUGGAGGAACACCAGUGGCGAAGGCGACUCUCUGGUCUGUAACUGACGCUGAGGAGCGAAAGCGUGGGGAGCGAACAGGAUUAGAUACCCCCGUAGUCCCUGUCUCUUAUAC
RNAcentral lists this ribosomal RNA (301 nucleotides) under uncultured bacterium. RNAcentral describes it as "partial 16S ribosomal RNA". It matches the Rfam family "Bacterial small subunit ribosomal RNA", at positions 509 to 807 of the family's 1533-position model. The record is from RNAcentral.